Molecule: non-coding RNA, 109 nt
Organism: Chelonoidis abingdonii (Abingdon island giant tortoise)
Lineage: Eukaryota; Metazoa; Chordata; Testudines; Testudinidae
Source: RefSeq, a predicted model, not a curated record
AGCAACAAAAGAGUCCUGUGGCACCUUAUAAACUAACAGACAUAUUGAAGAAUAAGCCUUCAAGGGUGAAUAUCCACUUGGUCAGGUGCAUGCCAUUUUGCUUGUUCUU